Molecule: ribosomal RNA, 1583 nt
Filed under: metagenome
Description: SSU rRNA
Rfam family: Eukaryotic small subunit ribosomal RNA
Source: RNAcentral
CUAGAUUUUACUCUACUUGGAUAACUGUGGUAAUUCUAGAGCUAAUACAUGCAAUUAAGCUCGGACCAUUGGAAAGAGCGCAUUUAUUAGAUCAAAACCAAUCGAGUUUCGGCUCGUGGUUUGAUGACUCUGAAUAACUAAGCAGAUCGCACAGUCUUGUACUGGCGACGUAUCUUUCAAGUGUCAGCCUUAUCAACUUUCGAUGGUAGGUUAUAUGCCUACCAUGGUUAUAACGGGUAACGGAGAAUUAGGGUUCGACUCCGGAGAGGGAGCCUGAGAAAUGGCUACCACAUCCAAGGAAGGCAGCAGGCGCGCAAAUUACCCAACCCCAGUACGGAGAGGUAGUGACGAGAAAUAACGAGAUAGUCCACUUUGUGGCCUGUCAUCGGAAUGGGUACAAUUUAAAUCCUUUAACGAGGAUCAAUUAGAGGGCAAGUCUGGUGCCAGCAGCCGCGGUAAUUCCAGCUCUAAUAGCGUAUAUUAAAGUUGUUGUGGUUAAAACGCCCGUAGUUGAUUUUUCGACUCUGGCAGUCGGUUGCCCGAAAGGGUCUUAAUUGGCUUGUCGAGUCUGAAUUUGAGUUUUCUGCUGCUGCUCUUAAUUGAGUGACAGUAGUGACUCAACGUUUUACUUUGAAAAAAUUAGAGUGCUUAACGCAAGCUGUACGCUUGAAUAGAGUGCAUGGGAUAAUGGAAAAGGACUUCAGUUCUAUUUUGUUGGUUUUCGGAAUUGAAGUAAUGAUUAAGAGGAACUGACGGGGGCAUUCGUAUUGUUGCGUUAGAGGCGAAAUUCUUGGAUCGCAGCAAGACGAACAACUGCGAAAGCAUUUGCCAAGAAUGUUUUCAUUAAUCAAGGACGAAAGUUAGAGGUUCGAAGGCGAUCAGAUACCGCCCUAGUUCUAACCGUAAACAAUGCCAACUGGCCAUUCGUCGGUGUUAAUUUAUGACCCGACGGGCAGCUUCCGGGAAACCAAAGUUUUUUGGUUCCGGGGGAAGUAUGGUUGCAAAGCUUAAACUUAAAGGGAUUGACGGAAGGGCACCACCAGGAGUGGAGCCUGCGGCUUAAUUUGACCCAACACGGGAAAUCUCACCCGGCCAAGACACAAUGAGGAUUGACAGAUUGAUAGCCCUUUCUCGAUUUUGUGGGUGGUGGUGCAUGGCCGUUCUUAGUUGGUGGAGUGAUUUGUCUGGUUAAUUCCGAUAACGAACGAGACUCUGGCCUAUUAAAUAGGAGCGAUAUUUUUGGUAUCGUGUCCUUCUUAGAGGGACUGGUAGCUUCUAGCUACACGAGAUUGAGCAAUAACAGGUCUGUGAUGCCCUUAGAUGUCCGGGGCUGCACGCGCGCUACAAUGAAGGUAGCACAGUGCAAAUUACCUUGUCCGAAAGGACUUGGCAAUCACGAAUUACUUUCGUGCUUGGGAUAGGGAAUUGCAAUUAUUUCCCUUGAACGAGGAAUUUCUAGUAAGUGUGAGUCAUAAGCUCAUGUUGAUUACGUCCCUGCCCUUUGUACACACCGCCCGUCGCUACUACUGACUGGAAGAUUCAGUGAAACUAUUGGACCGGGUCGAGAUUGGCUUCGCGGCCGA